This 465-nucleotide ribosomal RNA is filed under the name uncultured bacterium. RNAcentral describes it as "partial 16S ribosomal RNA". It matches the Rfam family "Bacterial small subunit ribosomal RNA", at positions 28 to 507 of the family's 1533-position model. The record is from RNAcentral.
GACGAACGCUGGCGGCGUGCUUAACACAUGCAAGUCGAACGGAAAGGCCCCUUCGGGGGUCCUCGAGUGGCGCACAGGUGAGUAACACGUGAGUAACCUGCCCUUGACUUCGGGAUAACUUCAGGAAACUGGGGCUAAUACCGGAUAGGAAUCCUUGCUGCAUGGUGGGGGUUGGAAAGCUUCGGCGGUUUUGGAUGGACUCGCGGCUUAUCAGCUUGUUGGUGGGGUAGUGGCUUACCAAGGCUUUGACGGGUAGCCGGCCUGAGAGGGCGACCGGCCACAUUGGGACUGAGAUACGGCCCAGACUCCUACGGGAGGCAGCAGUGGGGAAUAUUGCACAAUGGGCGGAAGCCUGAUGCAGCAACGCCGCGUGCGGGAUGACGGCCUUCGGGUUGUAAACCGCUUUCAGCAGGGGCGAAGCUUGUGGUGACGGUACCUGCAGAAGAAGCACCGGCUAACUACGUG